CCCGCACGUGGGGCGGGGUCUGCCGGCCGGGGGUGCGCCGCCGGGGCCCCGACAGCCCCCGGGGGAGACUGGAGGGAGGGGGACGAGCAGAACACCCAGCUCUUUUGUCUCCACCGCCCCCUCUUCCCCACUUCCUGCCCUGCCUCAGACUCCGGAUCGGCGGCGCGGUGCCGACUUUGUAAACACGCCGCCCCUGCGGGGGUGGAGACUGGUUUUGUUUGGGCGCCUGGGGGAGGGGUGCGUGUUUCGCCCCGCGGCGGGCGGUGGCGACGCCCCCUCCCCUAAGGCAGAAGCCAGAGGCAGCGGGAGCGAGCCUGUGGGCCACCGUCCGCGCACCGAGGGGCUCACCUGCCAAGGAGAGAAGCUGCAAGUACUACCAUAUGGGAGGACCCGGGUUUGAUCCCUGGGGCCUCCUGGUGAAAAAGAAGAGAAAGCGUGCCUGUGCAGAAAGCCAGUGCCCAUGUGACGAGCCGAGUGCACAGGCGGUGAGCUGAGUGCCCACACAGCGAGCCAAGUGCCCACGUGGGUGCCCAUGUCGCGAGCCAAGAUGCCCACAUGGUGAGCCGAGUGCCUGCAUGGCGAGCUGAGUGCCCGCACAAGUGCCUGCAUGGAGAGCCGGUGCCUGCGUGGUGAGCCAGUGCCGGUGCAAGUGAGUCACGCAGCAAGAUCACGAUGCAACAAAAAGAGAGACGAAGAGGAGAGCCAAAGUGAAACGCAGCAGAAAUCAGGUACUGAGAUGGCUCAAUUGACAGGGAACCUCUCUCCCCAUCAGAGGUCUCCAGGAUUGAUUCCGGGUGAAUCCUAGAGGGGAAAGACGAGAAAAGAAGACAAAAAGAGUAAUAGAUACAGAAGAUCACAUGGCAAAUGGACACAGACAGCAAAACAGUAGGGUGGGGGAGGGGAAGAAAAAUACAAUACAAUGAAAAAAGAUUUCAUAGAUAUUCUCCACCACAGUGGUAAUACCUGGGAUUUUUUAUUUUCCAGGUACCUUCAUAUCCAUUGAAUUACAUUUAUUGCCAUGAACAGUCUUUAUACAUGAAGAAGUUUAUGUUUUUAACUACCUGCCACACCUAACUUUUUGAAAGGGCUUACUGUGUGUCAGGCACUCUUUUAUGUAUUUUACACAGAUUAACCCAUUUCAUACAACCACCCUAUGAGGGAGGUGCUAUUACUAUCUCUAUUUUC
RNAcentral lists this long non-coding RNA (1185 nucleotides) under Dasypus novemcinctus (nine-banded armadillo). RNAcentral's name for it is "lncRNA (ENSDNOG00000051633.1)". The record is from RNAcentral. Lineage: Eukaryota; Metazoa; Chordata; Mammalia; Cingulata; Dasypodidae.